RNAcentral lists this ribosomal RNA (486 nucleotides) under uncultured bacterium. Its description in RNAcentral is "partial 16S ribosomal RNA". It matches the Rfam family "Bacterial small subunit ribosomal RNA", at positions 30 to 507 of the family's 1533-position model. The record is from RNAcentral.
AUUGAACGCUGGCGGCAUGCCUUACACAUGCAAGUCGAACGGCAGCACGUGUGCUUGCACCUGGUGGCGAGUGGCGAACGGGUGAGUAUUACAUCGGAACAUGUCCUGUAGUGGGGGAUAGCCCGGCGAAAGCCGGAUUAAUACCGCAUACGAUCUACGGUUGACAUCGGGGGACCUUCGGGCCUCGCGCUAUAGGGUUGGCCGAUGGCUGAUUAGCUAGUUGGUGGGGUAAAGGCCUACCAAGGCGACGAUCAGUAGCUGGUCUGAGAGGACGACCAGCCACACUGGGACUGAGACACGGCCCAGACUCCUACGGGAGGCAGCAGUGGGGAAUUUUGGACAAUGGGCGAAAGCCUGAUCCAGCAAUGCCGCGUGUGUGAAGAAGGCCUUCGGGUUGUAAAGCACUUUUGUCCGGAAAGAAAUCCUUGGCCCUAAUACGGUCGGGGGAUGACGGUACCGGAAGAAUAAGCACCGGCUAACUACGUG